CAUCCUUAUCUUAUCCGAGUCAAAGGGAGUUCCGAGAUCGCCGCCACUUACUAACCAACUAUGAGAGAGAAUAUCAAAAUGAGUAAUCAAUAGAGUAACUAUAAAAGCGUAAAGAAAAAAAGGAAGAAAGACACGCCCUGAGGCCUAGACAUAUCACCAUCCACUUCGACCUUACUCUCACUAUCUUUAGCUUAUAGUUUCUAGCUUAGUUGAUCUUGUUUUGUUAUACCUUGUAAACAUUUUUUGUGUUAAACUUCAAUAUAUAAAAGUCCCUUUCGUCAACUUGAGUCUGAUUACAUCUUUUGUGUUAUGAGGAUAUCGUUAUCAACAUAGUUCUUCUUCCCUAAUCUAUUACAUA
RNAcentral lists this long non-coding RNA (358 nucleotides) under Brassica napus (rape). RNAcentral's name for it is "long non-coding RNA (BNAP_LNC009040)". Lineage: Eukaryota; Viridiplantae; Streptophyta; Magnoliopsida; Brassicales; Brassicaceae. The record is from RNAcentral.